Long non-coding RNA from Vidua chalybeata, 7106 nucleotides. RefSeq lists it as uncharacterized. NCBI's taxonomy places the organism in Eukaryota, Metazoa, Chordata, Aves, Passeriformes, Viduidae. The record is from RefSeq and is a predicted model, not a curated record. The transcript is spliced from 5 exons.
AUGUUCAAACGUGUUACGCAAGUCAGUCUGCUUAGCCUUGUCCUUAUCUAGCUUGUGUGUGGAGUGGGGAAAUGGCACGCUGGGAAAGGUCUCUUCCCUUUACGAAACUCCCUCGCUUGUAAUAGAAAACAGUCAAGAAGCUGGAAAAAUUCUAACACUCCUGCUGAAGAACAAAAAAGGGAGAUGAAAGAAAGUGGGGAUUUGAGAAAGAGACAGCUUGAAUUUGGAGCUCAGAAAAUGAGAAGCACUUCGUUAGAGCCUCCAGUUCGAUACAAGAAACUCGCUACUCUGUAAAUCCCUGAUAAAGACAGAAAUAGAAGUGGUGUGUACUCAACAGGAUGCAUUUGCGGUGGCCUCCCAACAUCCCCUAUCCCUCCCUUCCCCCGAGGCUGCCGCUGGCUUUUGGUGGGGCCUGGGUGCCAGAAGAGGGAGCACGGAACACAGCAGAGCCCCAGCCUGAAUGUCCCUGCUGCUGCCUCAGGCAGGAGGAACUCUGCAAGGACCAACCUGCAGCAUUGCUGAUGCCGCAGGUUUUUCAGAAAACCCAGCUUCUAGUUCUUAAUAUAUUUUUCAUUAUUACUAUUUUUUGCUGUGCAUGUGCAGCUUGAGAUUUAAGAGCUUUUAGCUUUAUCACAUUGUUCAAUAGGAAAACUGCCCAAAAGGCAUAUCUCUGAUUCAAAGACUACUCUCCCACUAAAUUUCAAAUUUUCUCUUCAAAGUAAAGGCCUUUUCAGGUACAUUAAGAGAUUUUUUUCUGUACUUGAGUAAACAUGGGAGUUUUUUUCCUUCCUCAGUUUCACACUUGGAUUUUUGUUAAAAAGUUAUUUUGAAAACAUCAGCUUGAGGCAGACACGUGGCCUGGAAAACUUAAACUCAGGUAGUAUUAAAGUCAAAAAAACAGCCUAUCUUCAAUUGUUUCGUCUGAUAGCAUGUCUUAGAAUCUGAAGCUCUAUUGAAUUUCAACCCUGAAAACAUAUCCUAGUAGCUGUUUGGCUAUGUUUGCAUUUAUAGUCAUUAUAUGCAAUGUGAUUGCAAAAUACCUGUACUGGGCUCAAAUACAGUAAGUCAGCUAUCCUUUAAUAUACUUAGCUCAUUCCAAUAUAAUGCUUAUUAUUCAGAAUAACACUGUCCAGUACAGAGACAUUACAUGAGAGGAAGGUAGGAAGUCCUGUACUUCUAAUCUAAGUAGUAAAAAAUAUUCUUUGCAGUGGUAAUUCUUGGUUCUGGCUUCCUCCAAUGGGUUUAGGUCUCUGGGUAGCUGAAGCAGUUAUGUUAGGUACACGGACUGAGUCUUUGGCAGUAUUCAGACUGUAUCCCUUUACUGUACAGAGCUGUGAUCACCACAUCCAGUUCUAACUUGUUACAGGACCACAGUUAAAGAAUGGAACAGUUUUGUUAACUAGCCAAAUGGCAUGGGAGAAUUCCCAGAAUUCUUAGAAUUCCCAGAAUUCCCAGGUUACUUAGUUUGCUAAUCUCUGCUCGAGAGGUUCUGGUGGCCUCAUUGCUAGCAAAGGCUUAGCCUUGAACAACUGAGAUUUUGGGUAAAUCCCUGAUGCUGAAAACAUGCAGGAUAUGAUUCAAGGAGCGCCCCACACAAGUUUCUCUUGGGGACAGUGCUGAGAACAAGAAGAGUUCAGGAGCUUGGACAGCAGAAUUCCAGACUUGGAAAGUUAUGUAGACAUCAUUAAAUUCAGAAUUCUAUGACCACAUUAAAUAGCAGAAGCUGUGAACUGACAAACUCUUCAUUGCAGAAUCCAUAUGGGGCCAUUCUCUUAAAGUGUCUUCCCCCAAGGAAGCAGCUCUAAUCCUCACUAUGUCAAGACUUCUUGGACACACGAAAUUAUGAAGGAAUCUCAUUGGCAGGUGAAAUAUGGCAACAAGGAGUCAUAUCCAGUACUGUUGCACCUGGUAAAAGCCUACAUGAAGUGACUGCAAACAUGCCAGCAUUGGCAUUGGUGAGUCUUGGUGUUCUGUGUGUUCCUUGGACACUGGUGAGUGGAUAGGACUCAAUAUGAGUAGGGCUGCUCUGCUCAUCUCCAGAGAUAGCACCAACAACCUGAGAAUGUCCCCUUAGUCUCUUUGUCCACUCCUAGCCUCAGUAGAGGUGAUGAAGGUAUCACUUGUCACAAGAGGCCUCGGCACCACAUUUCUAACCUCCUUAUCACUUUUUCCUUGGGAUAUGUUACUAGCCCUUUGCAUCAGAGCCACAGUAUUCCUCAGCACUAUAGCUGUAAUAAAGGAACCUUCUCCCCAAGAUUCCCUGUGGCAGGCGAUAAGGAUAUUCAGUUUCUGGAAGUGAAGUGAGAUCUCUGCUGUCAAAACAGUGAAAGUGCAACUCCUUGUUCUAUGGAACACCAGGUUUCAAAUAUGUCAGCACUUGAAACAUGGAUUAAGUGAAGAAAAUUCAAUGACAAUUUCCUGACAUAGGUGAUUGGUGAGGUAACUAGAGGAGAUGCCCUGGCUGGACUUAUUAGUCAUGAACAAUCUGUCUGAGGGUGUAGAGGUUGAAGGCAGCUUUGGCUGCAGCUCUGAGUUUGUAUCGUUUAAAAUCCUGAGAUAAACAAGAAAACUAAUAAAAUUGCCAGUCUUGACUUCCAAAGGGCAAAUUUCAGCUUGUUUGGGAAUCUGCUGUACAGGAUCACAUGAGAGGCAGUCAGUUGCCCUGGCACAGCUAGUUGAACUUUAAGAACAACCUUCUCAAAACACAGAACUGAUUCCUUCCAAGUCAAGAAAGGUAAGCAAAGGUGCAAGGCUAGUAUGAGAACACUCUAGACUGACUUCAACUACAAAAUCUAGCCAAUGGCAGCGUGAGUGUGCUACCCAACCAUUUCACUGUGGUGAGUGGAGAGGUCCAUGAUGGAUGGAAGAGGCAAAUGUCAUACCCAUCUUCAAGAAGGCUGAGAAAGAGGACCCAGGGAACUACAAGCUAAGAACUCUAACCUCAGUCUCCUGGAAGAUUUUUCCUCCUGGAAACCAUUUCUGAGCUCAUGAAUUGCAAGAAGGUGAUUAAAAAUAGGCAGCAUGAAUUUACCAUGGGCAAAUUGCCAUUGAUGAACCUGAUUGAUUGAUCAUUGUGAGGUGGACUAAUUCCAUGAAUGAGGGAAGAGUAAUGAAUGUUGUUUACCUUGGCUUUAGCAGAGCUUUUCCCAAGGUCUUUGAUAGUAUCCUACCAGUCAAAACAUGGACAGGAUAAGCAGAUUAUAAAAUGGAUGGAAAACUGGUUGAAAUUCUAGGCCAGACAGGUUGUGACUGGCAGUAUAAAGUCCAUCCCACUACUGGUUGCUAGUGGCAGUCCUCCUCAGGAACAGAUUCUGAGGUAAAUGCAGUUUGGUGUCUUCACUGCUAAUGAUCUGAUCUAAUGGGAGAGCUUGCACUAUGAGCAGAUUCAUGGAUCAUACCAGCCUUCAGGGAAGGAGUUGAUAUGCCAGAGGGCAGGGCUGUUGCUUAGAGGGACCAAGACAUUGUAUUUCCAGGAGUCUCACCAAGCUCAGCAAAGACAGUUAAGAAGUCUUACACAUGUUGGAGAUGAUAUGAUUGAAGAGCAGCUUUGUAGAAAGGGACCUGUGGUACUGGUGGACACAAUGAGUAUGAGUUGGCAGUUGGGGCAAACAUGAACAGCCUCAUCCCACAUUGUAUUAGCAAGCUGUAGCCAGCAGGUCUAGGGAAGUAAUUGUUCCCUCUCUCUGGUGCUUGUGAGACUGCUUCUGGAGUACUGUUUCUGCUGCCCAGCACAAGAGACGGACACAUGGUUUUGAAUGCAGCAGAGUCACUAAGACCACACAGGCUGAAGUACGUGUGUAUGAGCCGAGUGUGAUAGCGUGAAUAUAGGAAAGAGAUCCAAACUCUUCUUGGAAAUGUAUGGUGACAGGGGAAGAGCUAAUGGACGCAAGUUGCAAUACAGGAAAUUCUGCCUGUAAGGAAAAACAUUUUCAUUGUCAAUAUAAUCAAAUGCUGGAAUGGACCACCAGUCAAUACUGUGGAAUCUCAGACCUUGAAGAAAUUCAAAAGCUGACUAAACAAGAUGCUUUAAUUGGAGAUGCUUUGAAUGAGGAGUUGAACUAGCAGACCUCCAGGGAUCACUUUCAACCCAUCCAUCAGAGAAGAGGAGCAAAGACCAGUAAAUGGCAAUAAUUCGCCACUGCAGACCUGCUCGAACCCUUAUUGUCACAGAGCUUUAGUGCCAAAGAUGAGGCACCUACACAUUUCUACACUGAAAGAUGGCAGCUGCAUUUUCAUUUGAGAACUGCAAGUUUCAAUGAAGAAUCCUAAGACCUGAAUAUCUUUUUGAAUCUGGUUCUCAACAGUCAACUGAAAAAAGAAUGGAUCUGUUUUCAAAGAGUGCAGGUUUCUCUCCUGAAGACAUGAAAGACAUAAGAGGAUGAUUGACCAGGAUUGCUUUGAGGGAUGUUUUCUUUCCUGUAGUCCUAAGAUGAGAUUGGAGGUUGUAGGAAGUGGCAGAUGUUUUGGAGUGGCCCUAUUGUUUACAGGACUUUAAAUUGUUUUCUUUCGUGAGUUUCCUAUCUGCUAAUAGUGAAUGCAUACUUGUAGCUAGUGUACAUGAUUGCAUUUGGCACCUUUUUGGAGUUAGAUGGUAGUUGUUUUCUAACUGGUGCUAAUUUCCAUUUUCAGACACUCUGCUUAACUUCAGCAUUAGCAAAAUUAUAUGAGAAAGUGAUGUUGCUGCACUCUGUGUUGUGCAGGGCUGUAAAUGUCGGUAUGCAUUACAGGAAUAAUUGUAUAGAAUAAAAAGCUAAUAUACAUUAGUGUUUUGUUAAAAAGUAUGCACAUUGUAUACAUAGUGCUUGGGAAAAAAGUAGUUUUCUCUUCAUGACUGAUCAAAUUCUAUACAUUUUAUAAGAAAACUUUUUGUGUCACUAAAAAAUAAUAAACAUUAUACAUAUUUAAUGGAAUAUAUGAUUUUUCCUUCUAGUGUAAUCGUUCACCAUUUCGUAGCAGCUUCCACAGGUACAGGUAACAGGACAAAUACAAGUGAGAGGAUAAUCAUAAUCCUUACCUCUUAAGAAAAAAAAUCCUCCUUAUUUUUAACUUUUGGUAACUUGAAAAUAUUUCUUGUAUUUUGUCUUAAAUACAGCAUCUCAUAAUUUGUUUGAUAAUGCCUCUCUUUCUAUGGUAAAACAGUUAGAAUAUAGACCUUCUUCCUUUCCUCAGUGGUAUGUCAACAAAUCAACAUGCUGGCUUAUAUUUUAAUAGAGUUAUGGGGAAGGGGAAAUGAGAUUUUCCAAAUGGGGAAGGAAAAAGUAUUUAUCAAAUUUCAACCCUUGGAUUAAAUUAUAUCAUGCUCUGUAAGAAAAAUUAUGUGGCUCUUCAGUUUUGUUUUAGAAGAGGUUCUGUGAUCCAAAAACCAUGCCAUAUUCAGUGCAUAUACUAAAAGCAUCACUCACAUGCUGGUCACAAGAAUAUGGUUCUAUAAAAAAAAAGUUGUCACUUAUAAGUCUUUUUCCCUGUAGUACAGAAAAUGAUUUCUAUUUGAAUAGCUUUGAAAUUUCAAGAUCGGAAUGUUUUUAUAAGCAAUAGUUUAAAGCCUGUGAUAUAAUCUGAAAACUAUCAAACAUACGAUCUUCCUAAUGUGCCAGGACUUUGAUUACAUAAAAAUAUUUUGUUGAUUCUUAGUGAAUAUUCAUGAAUGGUGUAUAUAUGGUUGGUAUGCAUAUGCAUAGUAUAAGACAAUAUUGUAAAAAAUACAUCUUUAUACUUAUGGAAGAUUUAAAAAACAAAUCAUUCCUUUCUACCUCUUUUUUCCCCCUCAUUUUUAAUUAAUGCCUACUUAGUGACUAUCUAUACUAUCUCAGUAUAAUUUCUGCUGUGAUGAUGUCUCUGUAGAAUCAUUGAUAUUUCCUUUAAAAGGAGAAUUGGAAGAUAGUCUAUAUUAGCUACUAGUUUACUUGAUCGUGUCCUGGAAUAUCCCCAGCCUUCAGGCAAACUCAUUGAAUUUCUCUCCUGUUUUAGAGUGUGUAGAGGCAGCUCAUAGGUUUAAAGUCAUGGUCAAUGGGGAUCUAGUCAAAAUAGUCAAUAUUAUCCAUAAAGUGAGUCAACUCAUUUUAAAGCAGGCAUCUACUUUUAGUCAGAUGAAUCACUCUCUAAACUUCAUUGAUGUAGAUAUGUCAAGGUGGAUGAGAUGGAUCCCACCCUCACAUUCCCUUGAUAUUUCUCCUCACUUGUUUGAGAGUGAAUUGAGGCACUUAAAAAGAAUUUUGCAGUGCAGUUUGCAUUGCAUUUGCAACUGGGACAACAACUCUCAGCCUUGCUGAGUUUACUGUAAGUUACCAGCUUGCUAAUGCCAGCUGUGUAUGGGGGCUCUACUGGGUAUGAACUGGUCAUGGUCAAUACGUGAGUCAGUGGUGAAUUCAGCAUUUAAAUGCAAUAAGUGCCUUCGGUGUUCUUACUGAAAAAUGGCUCUAACAAGAGCCAUAUUUAUACUUUAGCAAGCUUGCUUUUCAAAUAGCUCCAGAACUUUUAGAUUAAGUUGGCUGACAGAUUCUAAACAAUUUUCCAAAUGUUGUACCAAAUCCAUAUCAGGUACAAAUUUUGACUGCAUGUCAUUAUAUAAUGCAUGCUAAGUUCCGUCCAUGAGUUUUUUUACUGGCAUGUGAACAGAAGAACAACCUCAUCUUCUUAUUCUGGACCUUGUACCACUAUGCUCCAUCUCAGGAACAGAGAGGAACUUGAAAAGAUUGGGCUGAAGCUGCAAACAUGCUUUAGAUAAAGGAGAGAGAGGAAAAACAGGUCUGAUGAAUCAAUAGGUACAGGAAAGGGGAAAAUGACCCCGAACUUCUAAGCCAUGUUGUUUUCUCCAAACGUUGUGCCAUUUUCUAUCUCUGUCCCUUAUAUCAGUUGGGGUGUUUGUUGGGCAUUAGCCCAAUUCCAUGUUUUCCUUAGCAUGUUGUUGACAGGUAGGUGAAAAUGACAAAAGAGUGGAUGGCCCAAAGCAGUGAUGAGCAGUUGUAGGUCCUUAUAGCAACCAGUAGCACCAUGUUUUGGCACAGAUGGAGUGGCCCUUGAAGGCUUUAUAUUGUAUUGCAGAUGAAGAUUAGAGAAUAAAUUAGCAGAGGCAUUAAAUGUAAUGAAAUGAUAUCCUGUUUUGUUGU